This 475-nucleotide ribosomal RNA is filed under the name uncultured Desulfobulbus sp. RNAcentral's name for it is "bacterial SSU rRNA". It matches the Rfam family "Bacterial small subunit ribosomal RNA", at positions 916 to 1381 of the family's 1533-position model. Lineage: Bacteria; Pseudomonadati; Thermodesulfobacteriota; Desulfobulbia; Desulfobulbales; Desulfobulbaceae. The record is from RNAcentral.
GACGGGGCCCGCACAAGCGGUGGAGUAUGUGGCUUAAUUCGAUGCAACGCGAAGAACCUUACCUGGUCUUGACAUCCCGGAGACCCUUAGGAAACUAGGGGGUGCUUCCAUCUGGAAGAAUCUGGAGACAGGUGCUGCAUGGCUGUCGUCAGCUCGUGUCGUGAGAUGUUGGGUUAAGUCCCGCAACGAGCGCAACCCUUGCCUUUAGUUGCCAGCAGUUCGGCUGGGCACUCUAAAGGGACUGCCGGUGUUAAACCGGAGGAAGGUGGGGAUGACGUCAAGUCCUCAUGGCCUUUAUGACCAGGGCUACACACGUACUACAAUGGCCGAUACAAAGGGCAGCGACACUGCGAGGUGAAGCCAAUCCCGUAAAAUCGGUCUCAGUCCGGAUUGGAGUCUGCAACUCGACUCCAUGAAGUUGGAAUCGCUAGUAAUCGUGGAUCAGCAUGCCACGGUGAAUACGUUCCCGGGCCUU